This is a long non-coding RNA of Gallus gallus (chicken), 3727 nucleotides long. The record is from Ensembl. NCBI's taxonomy places the organism in Eukaryota, Metazoa, Chordata, Aves, Galliformes, Phasianidae.
CUACAUGUGUUCUAAUGACUGCUUUUUUACGGGAUACAGACAUGUAGGAGCAAGUUAAUAAUAACAACCUAUGUGAAAACAGUACAGGGAAAGACUGAGGCUGUUAGUUAGCCUUCCUUGCUAAACAAUAAUUUACACUGAAAGUUUUAAUUCCUUGCAACAUGCAUCACAUUUGUAUGUUUUUCUCCCUGAUACUUUACUUAGGCUGCUCCAAAAGUAAUGCCUCCAAUUUUAUGACAGUAUGGCAGUAGGGAUUGAACCUUCACACCAAUAUUCCAUUACAUGUUAUUGCCAUGUGACAGAUGGCACCAGAGGGGCAGUCGGACAGAAUGGUGUUGGAGGUGGAAGUGAGAAUGGAGCAAAAUUGUUUCAUUCUAUUCCUCCGUGCAGAAAAAAUGGCACCCACUGACAUUCACCAAUGCUUGCUGGAUGUUUAUGGGGACCAGCAUGUGGAUGUGAGCGCAGUGAGGCAGUGGGUGGUGUAUUUCAGCAGUGGUGACAGUGAGAGUAAUCGCCUCUGCUGGUACAGAUUGUUACUAUCACAUCAUGAAGGCUGUUGUUCACCGAUGGCAAAAAAUGCAUAACUUAUGGUAGUGAUUAUGUUGAAAAACAGUGUUUUGUAGCUGAGAAACUGCUCAAUCAAACAGUGUUACUGUGCUCUCAGUAUCCGAUGUAGUUUCAGUGAAAAUAAAUAGGUGACAUUACUUUUGGAGUGACCUACGUAACAACUGUUUGGGUAAGGUGAAUUCUUCAAUUAACAUAAGGAGGGGACGUGUUUCAAAGUCUAACAAACUAUCUUUCAAGUACAAAUGAAGGCCACUCAAUGCAACAGCAAAAGUUAGCAAUUUUCCUGUACUUGUUGAACCCUGCAUCUCUAAGCUAGCCAUUUCUGUAAUGACUUACUCUUUUGACAAGUAUUUCUGAUUCUUGAAAGCAAUUGCACAGUUCAAGUGAAUCUACUUCUUGGUUUCUUCUAGACAGUGUAGAAUGGUUAGAAUCUGGUACCUAGCUAGAUUUUCAAUUUGUUUGAACAUCUAUAGGAUUAAUAUUUAGCAUGUGAAAAAGCAAAGGUCUUUUUAAGACUCUUCUUCAUGUGACACUCAGAAAAAGGAGGAUGCUGGCAUUAAAGAGAUGUUCCUUUCUCAGAUACAAAUGUAUUACCAACAAGUGCAUAAUGCCCCGUUUUCCUGACUGUUUCUUGUAAAAUUAAGUCAAAUCCAUACUGAAAAGCCAAGGUGCAGAGCACAGCAGGCCUGAAGCUGGCAGCGCCUUCUAGAUAAUAUUUCUUCAAAAUCAUGGAAACUGCAGUUAUUUAUUCAAAUGUUUACUUUAUAUGUACUUUACUACUCCAGUACACAAAAUCAAGUUACACAAUUUAUCUGUUGCUAAAUAACAUGAUUAUUUGAAAUUGUCAGAUGAAAGCAAAUUCAGAGGUUGCUUUGUUUCUACCCAUACUACCUUUUUUUCCAUAGCAUCAUAGAAUGGUUUACGCUGGAAGGGACCUUAAAGCCCAUCCAGCUCCAACCCCCUGCCAUGGGCUGGUGGUCGACUACUGGGUCACCCUGCUCAGGGCCCUGUCCAACCUUGCUUAGAGCACCUUCAGGGAUCGGGCAUGCACAGCUUCUCUGGGCAGCCUGUGCCAAGGUCUCACCACCCUCAUCACGGAGAAUUUCUUUAUAUGAAAUCUAAAUCAACUUUCUUACAGUUAUAACUACUGCUUCUUGUCCUGUCAGUCACUGCCUUUAAUGUCUCUGGACUAUGUAGAAUGAAGAUAAUGCUCAACCCGAAAAACAAAACAAAAGAAAAACUAGAAAAAUUAACUAAUGCUGGUGUUAUGAAUUGUCUAAAUAAAUCUGUACAGAGCAUAUUCUUGAUACUGGACAUAUUUAAAAAAAAUGACAACUAGAUUCUACAUAUAAUUAUUGUAUUACAUAUGUUUUAGGGUUGUUCUUUAUUUAUUUAUUUAUUAACAUUCAUUUAUUUAUACUGCAGAGACAUGGAAAUACUUGUUGUAAUUCUUUCCUGCAUCUUGGAUUCCAUUAGUCCUCCUGAAUUCUCCUUGGUCUUUAGACCAGUUACAGGUUUUUAUUACACCCAGAUCCUUGUCUAGUUCCUUCCCCACUGUUAUUGUUGUUGGCUUCAGAGGUAUUGUACACUGGAUGAAUGGGAGUGGAUAUCUGCUUCUUAGUUAUAUGUGCCUGUAUAACUUUCCUAGCUCUAUUUAAUAGACUAUGCCAACAUAAAUGUGAAUGAUACAAGUCCUUAUAUUGUAAGUUUAUAUAGAUAUGUUUCUUUGGAAUAUCUUCUAUUCUCUUCGUAUGUAUGAUUGAAAUGAAAGCUUAAAAUGGAAAAUGAGUUUCUUUAAGGCAUUCCUGAAGUCUGUUUCACAAGUAAACAGCAGUUCUUUAAAUUUUAUGCCCCUUUUUUUGGAGUGCACAAAACCCCAUGGCUUAUUUUAUCAGUUUAUAGAGAUUUGCUGCUCAAACCCAUCUUCAAAAAUACAAAUAUAUCCAUUCAUUACUUUUUUUUUUUUUUUGUUACAAAUGAAGGCUUUUGUUGAUAACUAUUCAUUUCAGAUACAUUUGUACAAACCAUAAAAGUUCAUUUUUGUGAUUCCUUUAUUCCUUUUAGUAUGCCUUAGGAAUUCAGCUUGAUGCUUUUCAUUUCUCCCAGAUUUAUAUUUUGUCCCAGCAUUUUAAUGUUCUAAUCACAUGAAGACUUGGCAAAACUCCAGCUAUGAGAACUACAGUUCUAGUCCUUCUGGGAAGACUCCUUAAAGUUUAAUGGCAGCAUAAUUUAACUCCCUUUGAAGGCAGAGUUGCAAGUAUUUUUUAAACAAUUUUUUUUUUUUAUUUGCUCUUCUUUGUUGGCAGUGUUUCCUUAGAAGCUAGGAGAUAAAAACUUUUAACCUACAAACUUACUUGAUUUUCAUUUGGCAAUUAUAUUUUCCUUUGUUUCUGCUCCUCAUGGUAGUUGAAAUAUUAGCAUAUUUAUCUUCCCUGAGUACUUACUACUUCAUUACUAUUACAGAAUCAGCAAAAGAAAUGAAUUGAUUUUUCCCCAAAGGUCCUGUAUGUAUGUAAAAUAGAUCUUUCCUUUUAACAAGAAAGCAGGAGCUGAGUCUUCUGAAAUAAAAGUUGUGAAUUGCAAACAAUUGCAAAUCCUGUUGCCGUUAUUGUCACAAGUGGCUCCCAUGAAGUCACCAGACAUCUACAGCUGAUCCAAUCCGCCUGCAUGCUUCUUAUAAUGGGACUGUGACUGCUGUCCAUAAAGGAUGCUUCUGCUCAGUAGCUUCAUCAGUUGAUUUUAUGCCAGGGUUAUAACACAGAAUUCUUCAAAAUUGGGAAUAGAAGAGCUCCCCAUCACCAACUAUGGGGAAAAUACCUGGGUGUCACAUCUGGAGAUGCUAAAGAGCUGCUGCUGGCUUACAUCAGAGCUGGGAUCGGAGGAAUGAAACCAAAGCUACAGGCCUCCUCUGCCCUCUCUCUCAGUUGGUGGCUGAGGUCUGUAACUGCUUUCAAAAACACCUGUGAUUUUUGAGAAGUGGCAGUACAAUCUUUCAGAAAUAAAAGAACUAUCAACAGAAGUUAAAUAUGAUGUUUACAUAAAAUUUCAAGCCAUUAAUUGAUGCCAUGACAAAGUCCCAUCAUAGCAAUGCCUCAAAAUAAAAGAUAAGAACGUAAUUUUAGAAGUGGAUUACAGAUUUUUACCCAAUGAAAAAUUUCAC